Molecule: ribosomal RNA, 253 nt
Filed under: uncultured bacterium
Lineage: Bacteria
Description: partial 16S ribosomal RNA
Rfam family: Bacterial small subunit ribosomal RNA
Source: RNAcentral
UACGUAGGGGGCGAGCGUUGUCCGGAAUCAUUGGGCGUAAAGCGCGUGUAGGCGGCUCGUUAAGUCCGGUGUGAAACCUUGGGGCUCAACCCCAAGCCUGCACUGGAUACUGACGAGCUCGAGUCCGGGAGGGGAGAGCGGAAUUCCUAGUGUAGCGGUGAAAUGCGCAGAUAUUAGGAAGAACACCGGUGGCGAAGGCGGCUCUCUGGAACGGUACUGACGCUGAGACGCGAAAGCCAGGGGAGCAAACGGG